This is a long non-coding RNA of Etheostoma cragini (Arkansas darter), 242 nucleotides long. RefSeq lists it as uncharacterized. The transcript has 3 exons. The record is from RefSeq and is a predicted model, not a curated record. Lineage: Eukaryota; Metazoa; Chordata; Actinopteri; Perciformes; Percidae.
AUAACCAUGUGAAGUAAUAUAAAAAACUGUAUUAUAUUGAAUUAUACAGUAUCUUAAUGCAUUCUGUCAAGUCAAAUAACAAACAGUAUACGGCUUUAAUAGAAAAAGGUUUUUGACACAUCGUGAUGCAUCGAGAUAUGGAAUAAAAGACAUGAUAAUCGUAAUGGAAUCGGGAGAUUAGUGUAGAUUCACACCUCUACUAGAUACAAGUGUAAAAUUGUGACUUUUUUCGAGUUGCUUCA